GAAUAUUGGACAAUGGGCGGAAGCCUGAUCCAGCCAUGCCGCGUGUGUGAAGAAGGCCUUUUGGUUGUAAAGCACUUUAAGCGAGGAGGAGGAGCUCUUGGUUAGUACCCAAGAUGCUUGGACGUUACUCGCAGAAUAAGCACCGGCUUACUAUCGGACGGCAGCCGCGGGAAUACAGAGGGUGCAAGCGUUAAUCUGAUUUACUGGGCGUAAAGCGCGCGUAGGUGGCCAAUUAAGUCGAAGGUGAAAUCCCCGAGCUUAACUUGGGAAUUGCAUUCGAUACUGGUUGGCUAGAGAAUGGGAGAGGAUGGUAGAAUUCCAGGUGUAGCGGUGAAAUGCGUAGAGAUCUGGAGGAAUACCGAUGGCGAAGGCAGCCAUCUGGCCUAAUACUGACACUGAGGUGCGAAAGCAUGGGGAGCAAACA
Molecule: ribosomal RNA, 424 nt
Filed under: uncultured bacterium
Lineage: Bacteria
Description: partial 16S ribosomal RNA
Rfam family: Bacterial small subunit ribosomal RNA
Source: RNAcentral